This 257-nucleotide RNase P RNA is filed under the name uncultured archaeon. Its description in RNAcentral is "RNaseP_arch". It matches the Rfam family "Archaeal RNase P". Rfam says of the family: Ribonuclease P (RNase P) is a ubiquitous endoribonuclease, found in archaea, bacteria and eukarya as well as chloroplasts and mitochondria. Its best characterised activity is the generation of mature 5'-ends of tRNAs by cleaving the 5'-leader elements of precursor-tRNAs. Cellular RNase Ps are ribonucleoproteins. The record is from RNAcentral.
AGGAGCAGGGCGAUUGGCUGUCGGUAUCCCUUCGAGGACGCUGAGGAAAGUCCGCCCACUCGUGAAACACACGGUCCGAGAGGACGCCCAGCUGAACAGAAACGAGACCCUUUGGUGGGAUGAAACGGCGGCUGGAGAGUGCAACCUCUUAUGAGGGCUUAGUCGAAUGCCAAUGCAAUCCGGCUCUUAACGGGGCAAAACCCAUUUUGUUAGUGGGUUUCUGGAUUAGAACAGAAGGCGGCUUAUGCCCUGCACCU